RNAcentral lists this ribosomal RNA (253 nucleotides) under uncultured bacterium. RNAcentral describes it as "partial 16S ribosomal RNA". It matches the Rfam family "Bacterial small subunit ribosomal RNA", at positions 524 to 776 of the family's 1533-position model. The record is from RNAcentral.
UACGAAGGGUCCAAGCGUUGUUCGGAAUUACUGGGCGUAAAGCGCGCGUAGGCGGGCUUGUAAGUUGAUUGUGAAAUCCCUGGGCUUAACCUGGGAACUGCAGUCAAUACUGCAAGUCUUGAAUGUCUGAGAGGAUGGCGGAAUUCCCGGUGUAGUAGUGAAAUACGUAGAUAUCGGGAAGAACACCUGAGGCGAAGGCGGCUAUCUGGCGGUACAUUGACGCUGAGGCGCGAAAGCGUGGGGAGCAAACAGG